GGUUUUGUAAUGUAAAUUAACAUAAUAAAUUGCAAAUUUGUGAAUACGAAGUAGUUUUCGUCAAAACUU
This 69-nucleotide transfer RNA is filed under the name Euretaster insignis. Its description in RNAcentral is "tRNA-Cys". Lineage: Eukaryota; Metazoa; Echinodermata; Asteroidea; Velatida; Pterasteridae. The record is from RNAcentral.